Molecule: non-coding RNA, 173 nt
Organism: Spirochaetes bacterium GWB1_66_5
Lineage: Bacteria; Pseudomonadati; Spirochaetota
Source: Rfam
UCCGCCGCGAGACGGAAUCCGGAGGAAGCCGCAGGCAAAGCGCUGGCCUGACGAACAGGAACUGCAUAGGAGGCAGUCGCCCCGGGAGGAGAGGGCCAUUAGACUCGAAGUCCCAUACCUGUACGGCAGGGGCGAGUGUAAAUGCAGCAGGCAUAAGCGGGAAGGUGGGUGCG